This 16-nucleotide transfer RNA is filed under the name Blepharostoma trichophyllum. RNAcentral's name for it is "partial tRNA-Phe". Lineage: Eukaryota; Viridiplantae; Streptophyta; Jungermanniopsida; Jungermanniales; Blepharostomataceae. RNAcentral also lists the same sequence under 74 other names. The record is from RNAcentral.
GCCGGAAUAGCUCAGU